This 339-nucleotide unclassified non-coding RNA is filed under the name soil metagenome. RNAcentral's name for it is "partial contains 5.8S ribosomal RNA, internal transcribed spacer 2, and large subunit ribosomal RNA". The stretch from base 1 to 120 matches the Rfam family "5.8S ribosomal RNA", at positions 35 to 154 of the family's 154-position model. The record is from RNAcentral.
GAUGAAGAACGCAGCGAAAUGCGAUAAUUAAUGUGAAUUGCAGAAUUUAGUGAAUCAUCGAAUCUUUGAACGCACAUUGCACCUCUCGGUAUUCCGGGAGGUAUGCCUGUUCGAGCGUCAUUUGUACCCUCAAGCUCUGCUUGGUGUUGGGUGUUUGUUCCGCCUUUGUGUGUGAACUCGCCUUAAAACAAUUGGCAGCCGGCGUACUUGUUUCGGAGCGCAGCACAUUUUGCGAUCCAGAUCAACGUACAGCGGCAUCCAAGAAGCCUUAUUUAACGCUCUUGACCUCGGAUCAGGUAGGGAUACCCGCUGAACUUAAGCAUAUCAAUAAGCGGAGGA